Molecule: ribosomal RNA, 498 nt
Filed under: uncultured bacterium
Lineage: Bacteria
Description: partial 16S ribosomal RNA
Rfam family: Bacterial small subunit ribosomal RNA
Source: RNAcentral
AUUGAACGCUGGCGGCAUGCCUAACACAUGCAAGUCGCACGCGAAAGAGGGGCAACCCUUGAGUAGAGUGGCGGACGGGUGAGUAACGCGUAGGAAUAUACCUGGCAGUGGGGGACAACCCGGUGAAAACCGGGCUCAUACCGCAUCUGGUCCAAGGAUGAAAGCAGGGGAACGCAAGGCCUUGCGCAAUCAGAUUAGCCUGCGUCGGAUUAGCUAGUUGGUGAGGUAAUGGCUCACCAAGGCAACGAUCCGUAGCUGGUUUGAGAGAACGACCAGCCACACUGGGACUGAGACACGGCCCAGACUCCUACGGGAGGCAGCAGUGGGGAAUAUUGGACAAUGGGGGCAACCCUGAUCCAGCAAUGCCGCGUGUGUGAAGAAGGCCUUCGGGUUGUAAAGCACUUUCGGUGGGGACAAACGUGGCGAGGCUAACAUCCUCGUCCUUGAUGGUACCCAAAGAAGAAGCACCGGCUAACUCUGUGCCAGCAGCCGCCGUAA